This 349-nucleotide ribosomal RNA is filed under the name Salmonella enterica subsp. enterica serovar Montevideo str. 316111868. RNAcentral describes it as "bacterial LSU rRNA". It matches the Rfam family "Bacterial large subunit ribosomal RNA", at positions 2585 to 2925 of the family's 2925-position model. The record is from RNAcentral. Lineage: Bacteria; Pseudomonadati; Pseudomonadota; Gammaproteobacteria; Enterobacterales; Enterobacteriaceae.
CCAUUAAAGUGGUACGCGAGCUGGGUUAGAACGUCGUGAGACAGUUCGGUCCCUAUCUGGCCGUGGGCGGCUGGAGAACUGAGGGGGGCUGCUCCUAGUACGAGAGGACCGGAGUGGACGCAUCACUGGUGUUCGGGUUGUCAUGCCAAUGGCACUGCCCGGUAGCUAAAUGCGGAAGAGAUAAGUGCUGAAAGCAUCUAAGCACGAAACUUGCCCCGAGAUGAGUUCUCCCUGAGACUUUAGGUCUCCUGAAGGAACGUUGAAGACGACGACGUUGAUAGGCCGGGUGUGUAAGCGCAGCGAUGCGUUGAGCUAACCGGUACUAAUGAACCGUGAGGCUUAACCUUAC